This 213-nucleotide ribosomal RNA is filed under the name uncultured bacterium. RNAcentral describes it as "partial 16S ribosomal RNA". It matches the Rfam family "Bacterial small subunit ribosomal RNA", at positions 524 to 729 of the family's 1533-position model. The record is from RNAcentral.
UACGUAGGUGGCGAGCGUUGUCCGGAUUUAUUGGGCGUAAAGCGCGCGCAGGCGGUCGCGUAAGUCUGCUGUGAAAUCUCCCUGGCUCAACCGGGAGGGGGCGGCGGAGACUGCGGGACUGGGAGGGACCUAGGAGGCCGGUGGGAAUUCCCGGUGUAGCGGUGAAAUGCGCAGAUAGUCAGGAGGAACACCGGUGGGCCGAAGGCGGGUCUC